CCAAAGGCUCUUUUAAGAGCCACUCACUUGUCCGCUGGAGAGAGCU
Non-coding RNA from Colius striatus (speckled mousebird), 46 nucleotides. The record is from Rfam. NCBI's taxonomy places the organism in Eukaryota, Metazoa, Chordata, Aves, Coliiformes, Coliidae.